Molecule: ribosomal RNA, 439 nt
Filed under: uncultured bacterium
Lineage: Bacteria
Description: bacterial SSU rRNA
Rfam family: Bacterial small subunit ribosomal RNA
Source: RNAcentral
AACGCGAAGAACCUUACCCAGGCUUGACAUGCACAGGACAGCUUCAGAAAUGAAGCCUCCCUUCGGGGCCUGUGCACAGGUGCUGCAUGGCUGUCGUCAGCUCGUGCCGUGAGGUGUUUGGUUAAGUCCAGCAACGAGCGCAACCCUUAUCAUUAGUUGCCAACAUUUAAGGUGGGAACUCUAAUGAGACUGCCUGGGUUAACCAGGAGGAAGGUGAGGAUGACGUCAAGUCCGCAUGGCCCUUAUGUCUGGGGCUACACACGUGCUACAAUGGCCGGUACAGAAGGCAGCGAAACCGCGAGGUGAAGCAAAUCCAAAAAACCGGCCCCAGUUCAGAUUGUAGUCUGCAACUCGACUACAUGAAGACGGAAUUGCUAGUAAUGGCGAGUCAGCAACAUCGCCGUGAAUACGUUCCCGGGCCUUGUACACACCGCUCGUC